UGAGAAGGAGAUAGAGAGAAUAGGUUAUGAAAGGUCAAACUUCAAAGGACAAAUUGCAGCCGUAUACAUCGUAGGUUAGGGCGGAGAAUGGCCGAAUGGGGAUUGGCAGGAACAUAUAAAAAAUUAGGUCUCAAAUUGAAAGAGGGGAAAAUAAGCUUCAACAAUAAUUAUAACUAGAGAUUUAGAUAAACAUGUAGUCUUUGUUUUUGACAAAUGUGAUUCUGGAAGAUAUCAAGCUUAUAACUCGUCUUUGUCAGGUGGUUCGAAUUUCAGCCUAAUAGACAAGAAUGCUCAGGUGAGACUUUAAAUAUUGUUUGCUAGUUGGUGUGUUUAAACUUGAUUAUUUAGCUAGUACUUUUGGUUAGUUGAUAUAAGAUGUAGUUUAUAUAAAACAGCAACUGUCUAAAAGAUUUAUGUAUAGCUUCGGAUUUGAACUUAAAUUUAGCACAUUUGACCUCAAAAGUUGAAGGAUAUUUUCUUUAACGGCA
This is an RNA transcript of Helianthus annuus (common sunflower), 488 nucleotides long. RefSeq lists it as uncharacterized. The transcript is spliced from 3 exons. Lineage: Eukaryota; Viridiplantae; Streptophyta; Magnoliopsida; Asterales; Asteraceae. The record is from RefSeq and is a predicted model, not a curated record.